AGACUGAGGCUCGCUGGAUAGAGUUUUUAGUUGUUAACUAAAUUUUUGCGGGAUCGAGGCCCGUCGGUCUAG
This 72-nucleotide transfer RNA is filed under the name Blaesodactylus sp. IGB-2014. RNAcentral's name for it is "tRNA-Asn". The record is from RNAcentral. Lineage: Eukaryota; Metazoa; Chordata; Lepidosauria; Squamata; Gekkonidae.